RNAcentral lists this unclassified non-coding RNA (257 nucleotides) under plant metagenome. RNAcentral describes it as "partial contains small subunit ribosomal RNA, internal transcribed spacer 1, and 5.8S ribosomal RNA". The stretch from base 1 to 54 matches the Rfam family "Eukaryotic small subunit ribosomal RNA", at positions 1778 to 1831 of the family's 1831-position model. The record is from RNAcentral.
GGAAGUAAAAGUUGUAACAAGGUUUCCGUAGGUGAACCUGCGGAAGGAUCAUUACCGAGUGAGGGCCCUCUGGGUCCAACCUCCCACCCGUGUUUAUCGUACCUUGUUGCUUCGGCGGGCCCGCCGCAAGGCCGCCGGGGGGCAUCUGCCCUCUGGCCCGCGCCCGCCGAAGACACCAUUGAACGCUGUCUGAAGAUUGCAGUCUGAGCAAUUAGUUAAAUAACUUAAAACUUUCAACAACGGAUCUCUUGGUUCCG